Molecule: non-coding RNA, 193 nt
Filed under: Tepidanaerobacter syntrophicus
Lineage: Bacteria; Bacillati; Bacillota; Clostridia; Thermosediminibacterales; Tepidanaerobacteraceae
Description: T-box sequence
Rfam family: T-box leader
About the family: Uncharged tRNA acts as the effector for transcription antitermination of genes in the T-box leader family. T-boxes are found upstream of many aminoacyl-tRNA synthetase genes and some amino acid biosynthetic genes usually in Gram-positive bacteria.
Source: RNAcentral
UCAAUAGCGAUGAUGGAGAAAAGUAAGCACCACUCUUUUUUAGAGAGCCGGCGGCAGGUGAAAGCCGGUAAAGAGUUUUGCUGAAUUCCGCUCCGCAAGCUGCACCUUUGAAAAGGUGCCGGGAUUUUCAGAAUCCCGUUAAACAAAUUAAGUAUUAAUUAAGGGUGGCAACGCGAGUCCUCUCGCCCCUUUU